RNAcentral lists this ribosomal RNA (459 nucleotides) under uncultured bacterium. RNAcentral's name for it is "partial 16S ribosomal RNA". It matches the Rfam family "Bacterial small subunit ribosomal RNA", at positions 338 to 795 of the family's 1533-position model. The record is from RNAcentral.
CCUACGGGGGGCAGCAGUGAGGAAUAUUGGUCAAUGGGCGCGAGCCUGAACCAGCCAAGUCGCGUGAGGGAAGACGGUCCUACGGUUUGUAAACCUCUUUUGUCGGGGAGCAAAAGAGGCCACGCGUGGCGUUCCGAGAGUACCCGAAGAAAAAGCAUCGGCUAACGCCGUGCCAGCAGCCGCGGUAAUACGGAGGAUGCGAGCGUUGUCCGGAUUUAUUGGGGUUAAGGGGUGCGUAGGCGGGGUUUCAAGUCAGCGGUAAAAAUGCGGGGCUCAACCCCGUACGGCCGUUGAAACUGGGGGCCUUGAGUGGGCGAGAAGAAGGCGGAAUGCGUGGUGUAGCGGUGAAAUGCAUAGAUAUCACGCAGAACCCCGAUUGCGAAGGCAGCCUUCCGGCGCGCUACUGACGCUGAGGCACGAAAGCGCGGGGAUCGAACAGGAUUAGAUACCCUUGUAGUC